RNA transcript from Triticum aestivum (bread wheat), 2154 nucleotides. RefSeq lists it as uncharacterized. The transcript has 2 exons. Lineage: Eukaryota; Viridiplantae; Streptophyta; Magnoliopsida; Poales; Poaceae. The record is from RefSeq and is a predicted model, not a curated record.
AAAGUUUGCCUUGACUCGUACAUCGCUGAAACUGCUGCCCCCAUGAGAAGAAAGCAGGGUUCCCUCCUCCGCCGCGGUGCCCCAAUCCCUCCUGCUCCGCGGUGCCCUUACUCGCCUGCUGCCCCCACUGCGGUCGUCGAAUCCGGGCGAGAUCGAGAGGAUACGCCGCAUCUCGCGGGACACCCAGCCGCUGUACUCCACCUCUCGCUGGCCUCCUUCCGGUUCCCUUCGUCACCGACGGCGAGCCCUGCUGAUGACGAGUUGUUCCCCAACCGAAGAAACGGAUCAAGGCCAUGGGAUCCAGCCAACGACCGUCCCCUGGAUGCAUCACCUUGCCAAACGCUUGGUGGGGGCAGCAUGGACGAGCUGCUCGUCGACCAUGCGGGGAGCACGGACGAGCUGCUCGUCGGCGUCCAUCCCGCGCGCCCAGUCCCUGCCGACGAUGGCUACCCAGCCCCCUCGACGGCGUGUGUUUCCUGCUCGCCGCCUGCUGUCUCCCCUGGUCACCAUCCCCUGGAUCCCACUACCCCCUCCAUUAUAUUCCUAUUUUGAGGCAAGCAAGGUUGCGAACGUCGACAACGAGUAGGAGGCAAGUGUAUUACGGUGAGCAGUGAGACAUGGGCAUGAAGCAGGUGUGCAAGGCCACUUGCUGCUGCACUAAUUGCCUUGACGGAGCACUGGCCGCCGGCUCCCCGGUGCCCACCGCCCGCCGGUGGACUCCCUGGUUGUGCACAAUGGAGAUGAACCUGCGUCGGCACCCUGCAGCCUGGAUAGAGCUUUGCCAGUGGUGGUGAUGAAUCUGUUGUCUGUGCUGGUGAUGUCGCUCUCUAGCAUCAACUUUCUCCACCGGCUAUUAGAGAGUAGAGGUCAUAUAAUGGAUUUGUUUUUCUUCAGAGAUGUGCUCCCGUCGUUGUUGGCUGUUGAAUUUGUAAUGCAUUCUGUCCCUUAGUCUGUCUUCACCACUUCGUCCUCCCGCACAAUCGACAGAACAGAGCAACUGUCGCGAUUUGUCCAUUCAUCUCUUCGAGUGAUUCAAACCUAGGAAGCCUGCUACUUGUGCAAGCAACAUGGUAAGAAGUUUCAGUUUUCUCACUAAUGCACCUCAAUUGGUAAGUAUAGAAGAAUGUCAGUUUGCUUUAUGUUGGUUUUCUAAUUUCUACAUAUUCCUUUCUUAUAGACUCUGCCUUCAAGGAAAUCUAAUUAUCUAGGUAUAUGGAAAGGCGGUAAAUUCUGUUACUAUAUAUUUGUGUGUACUCAAGCUCUGCUAUGCAGAUUGAGGAGAAAGAGUUAUUUUAUUGUGAUGAUGAUUAAUUUUUUUCAUCCUGUGAUCUCCUUUGCUUCAGUUGUGCUAAUAUUUUUUUGCACAUCAGUAGGACUAAAAUAUUCCAGAUACCAGAAGGAUUUUUAGUUCUGUCUGAGCAUCUUGAUUUUGGAAAAUGUGGUGUACUAAUGGCUCAUGAGGAUAAUUUCCACUGAGUACUCUAGGUCAGCCUACAUAUGUUCUUCUAAGCACAAUUGUUUGCAUCUGCCUAAUCUGCAUACAAAAAUGUGCAUCUGCCUGGAAGUUUAACUCUUACAUUUUUGGGCCCAAGUAGUCAAAAUAGUACAUUAGUGUAGACAAAGAAGAGUUCAGCUUCCAGUACGCCAUUAUACCUUUCCUAACUACCUCUCUCUGGUUGGUUGAAGGUGUGGAGUUUAGCCAUGUUCUGCUGUAAGGAAAGCCAUGACCUCCACACAGAUGAUGCAAGCGGAAACAAGCUAGACUCACAACUUUGGUUUUGAGGCAUUUUCACCCACAAAUAUUACCCUGGUACUAACAGGUUGUUAGUAUUAUAUCAGUAUACUUGUUCAGCCUUUCGAUGUGCUGGUCCGAAUAUUUAAACAAGGAAGCAGGCUCAGUUGCUCACCAACCUACUAUUGCUGCCAACAAGUAGCCAGAAACCCAUAGAAGAUAUCUGCAUUGAUCACAGAAAAAUGAAGUAUUGAAUUUGUAGGACAUUUUCAACAUUGUCAUCCUAAUCUGGUUCCCACAUAUUCAAGAUGUGGAGAUUAUCUCUUUGCUCCAACAAAGCCAUGGCCUUCAAUUUUGUUGUUAAUUUAACAAUUGUUUUGGUUGUGCCGAUCGAUCGGCCUAUAAGAGCCAAUUUGGUUUCA